Molecule: non-coding RNA, 53 nt
Organism: Salmo salar (Atlantic salmon)
Lineage: Eukaryota; Metazoa; Chordata; Actinopteri; Salmoniformes; Salmonidae
Source: Rfam
CUGUAACAUGCAGUAAGUCGCUCUGGAUAAGAGCGUCUGCUAAAUGACUUAAA